Molecule: long non-coding RNA, 1244 nt
Filed under: Podarcis muralis (Common wall lizard)
Lineage: Eukaryota; Metazoa; Chordata; Lepidosauria; Squamata; Lacertidae
Description: lncRNA (ENSPMRG00000018108.1)
Source: RNAcentral
AAUGAGAAGCAAACACAACAGGGUUUUUUUCCUCUUUCAAAUGCAGGCAGGUAAGCUUUAAUGAAUGAAAAAAGCAGCGUGUGAAAACACUUGCCUGGUGAGCAAAUGUCAAAGGGAACAAAAAUAUUUUACUCUGAAAGAUAACAGCACAAAGCGAUUGGCAUGAGUUCAGCAGGACAGUUGAGGCAUCAAAAAACUUGGGCAUCCUACAGAAUAGUUGAACAUACAGAGAACCAAAGAAGGGGAUAUUACUUAAUGCCUUUGGAGUUUUUUGUUUUGUACUUUGAGUUAAGUAAAAGCGCAGGAGGAAAAGCUGAGAAGUCAAAGCAGCAUAUCUACAAUCUAGCAUAGAGAUGGACACAAGCAUCAGGAAUGCUGAGCAACCACAGAUCCAGUUGUCAGAGUUGUGGAUUGAGGGGCUCAGCAGUGAUGACACCCAGGCUUAUGACAUCAGCAGCAGCCAUGAAUGUGUAUUAGGAGUUUCCAGGUACCAUUUUCUUUUCCAAAUUCUUCUGUUGUUGUGGAGACUGACUUUGAUCUUAACAGGGAGAACCGCACACCUUGGCAAUUCCACGGGGUUGGCACAGACCCAAACGGCUGUAUGAGCUUCCGCCGGAGCCCCCACCACAGGCGGUGUAUCCCCCCACUCUAACUGGCUCGCAAGUGGCGGCAAGGAUUGGUCCUGGGACUACCACACACACGGGAGCCGGCUGGAUGACUACUUCACAUGGUGGUAACUGAUUGACGCAGCCAACAUUGGCUCCAGAUGUUAUACCGAGGCUACUCGAUGACACUCCGCCUCCGUAGGAUGACAAGCCCCCACAAGGUGAACACAGUGAGCCCAGACCACUGACCGGGUAGCUGACACAAGAUGGGGCACAGGAUGAGACGCAGCAGGGCUGGCAAGACAUCUUGAAGUGAUGGAGCUGGGUCUGAAAUGACAAGUUGCAGGCAAGACUUAGUGGAAGAAAUCAGUUGAGGAAGGGGAUGUUGAAGGAGCACUUGUGCAACAAUGAGGGACGUUGAAGCAGAGGGGGGAGACCAUGCUAAAAGGGAAAUUACAGAGGCUAGUGCUUUGUGGAAGAGCUGGUACCUGCCUUUGUGGAUGAGAUGCCCUAUAUUAGGAGUGACCAACAUGGUGUCCUCUAGAUGUUGUUGGCAUGCAACUCCCACCAGCCCCAGCUAAUGUUGCCAAAGUCUCAGAAUGAUCUGAGUUGAAGUCCACAAUGUUUAGUGGACACUGC